RNAcentral lists this ribosomal RNA (531 nucleotides) under uncultured bacterium. RNAcentral describes it as "bacterial SSU rRNA". It matches the Rfam family "Bacterial small subunit ribosomal RNA", at positions 777 to 1303 of the family's 1533-position model. The record is from RNAcentral.
AAUAGAUACCCGGGUAGUCCACGCCGUAAACGAUGAGUGCUAAGUGUUAGAGGGUUUCCGCCCUUUAGUGCUGCAGCUAACGCAUUAAGCACUCCGCCUGGGGAGUACGGCCGCAAGGCUGAAACUCAAAGGAAUUGACGGGGGCCCGCACAAGCGGUGGAGCAUGUGGUUUAAUUCGAAGCAACGCGAAGAACCUUACCAGGUCUUGACAUCCUCUGCCAACCCUAGAGAUAGGGCGUUCCCCUUCGGGGGACAGAGUGACAGGUGGUGCAUGGUUGUCGUCAGCUCGUGUCGUGAGAUGUUGGGUUAAGUCCCGCAACGAGCGCAACCCUUCGAUCUUAGUUGCCAGCAUUCAGUUGGGUCGACUCUAAGGUGACUGCCGGUGACAAACCGGAGGAAGGUGGGGAGUGACGUCAAAUCAUCAUGCCCUUACUGACCUGGGCUACACACGUGCUACAAUGGAUGGUACAAAGAGCUGCGAACCCGCGAGGUAAGCGAAUCUCAUAAAGCCAUUCUCAGUUCGGAUUGUAG